RNAcentral lists this long non-coding RNA (1294 nucleotides) under Priapulus caudatus. Its description in RNAcentral is "uncharacterized LOC106818267, transcript variant X1". The record is from RNAcentral. Lineage: Eukaryota; Metazoa; Priapulida; Priapulimorpha; Priapulimorphida; Priapulidae.
CGUAAACACCGGAAACAAGACCCUAUCUGUCGGAGGUUUAGCGCCGUCGACAACCGAUCGAGUGGCGUACACGAUGAACCAUCGAACAAUACAGAUGAUGCUGGCUCACUUUGGCAUCAGAAGGAUUGAUGGCACUGUGACUGUAGGCCAAGUAGAAGAUGUUGUUAUGAAAGAAAUGAGUGGUCCAAGGAAACAUAUGCAGGCUACCGACAGAUGACAAAGGCAGUACGCGAAGAGAACAAGCUGUUCGUACCAAGGCAAGUGGCCUUGGUAUAUGCUGCCAUGAUGAAGGGGGAUCCCGAAGGGUUGACAUCUAGGGCCACACACGGGAAGAAAGGAAUUGGUCGUAGACGUGUAUUCUACAGUAAGGUAUAUAGCUUCUGGAUCUAACUUAAAUUGUGGACGAGCUAAAAGACGGGCAUAUCAUAGGCGCAGAAAUGAAACGUGUUUUUUUCUGUCUUUAUAAUUUCUUAACUAACAGAUUAUUAUGUGGCAACGAGAAUUAUACUGCGCCACAGAUGAUGACUCAUCAGACAUGGGUUCGUGUCUGCACACGACCCAGCUAAUUAUAGAAAUCAAGGUGGCGACCGGAAAUGAUAUGGGCAGUAGAAGGUUCGAGAAAGGGGAAAUGAUGUAAUCUAAUGAAUCACAUGACCGGUCACGUGGGCUGCCCAUUGAUUAGAUUGAUACCUAUAAGAGGCCAUUCAAUUUUUGACAGGCUCAUCUGGUUUCAAUAUUACAUUUAAUGCAAACAUGGCAUCAUCAUGCAUCUCCUUCAAAAAUCUUUCCAUAUCACACCUGUUGUUAAAUGAAAAAGCUGUGAUGUCAGCUAGUUCACGAUCUAUAUCAACUUCAGAAUUUAUAUUAUGAGCACAGAGCGCCAAUAUUUGUGAGUGGCGUGGUCGUGGCACUGAAACUGUUCCUUUUAGUUCAUUUUUGUGUUUCCGAAUCCAAAGUAAUCCUUGCUGAAUGGUUUGAAAUAUUGCAAUCUUCAUAUUGUUCAUCUGAAACAAACAGUUUGAUAAUAAUGUAAAUACUUCACGUCCGUUGCUGCUGUUAGUUUACAGCUUGAAAAUUCACUUGAACCGACUUGAACAUUUGCACUAAAUAUGCAACAUAUUGCUACAAAUAGUAUAUUGUGAUUACAAAUUCAUGCUGUUUUUGGUGAGCUUGUAACUGCUGCAUAUCAAAAGGGUCGAAAGUAUUUUGGAUAACUCACCAGAACAAGAAUAAUAGCAACCAUGUCAAUUCAUCUUCUAAUGAUCCUAUAUGCAUUAAAAACAAUAAUUUUCUA